Molecule: ribosomal RNA, 414 nt
Filed under: uncultured bacterium
Lineage: Bacteria
Description: bacterial SSU rRNA
Rfam family: Bacterial small subunit ribosomal RNA
Source: RNAcentral
AGAGUUUGAUCCUGGCUCAGAACGAACGCUGGCGGCAGGCUUAACACAUGCAAGUCGAGCGCCCCGCAAGGGGAGCGGCAGACGGGUGAGUAACGCGUGGGAAUCUACCUAUCUCUACGGAACAACUCCGGGAAACUGGAGCUAAUACCGUAUACGUCCUUCGGGAGAAAGAUUUAUCGGAGAUGGAUGAGCCCGCGUUGGAUUAGCUAGUUGGUGGGGUAAUGGCCUACCAAGGCGACGAUCCAUAGCUGGUCUGAGAGGAUGAUCAGCCACACUGGGACUGAGACACGGCCCAGACUCCUACGGGAGGCAGCAGUGGGGAAUAUUGGACAAUGGGCGAAAGCCUGAUCCAGCCAUGCCGCUUCGUGAUGAAGGCCCUAGGGUUGUAAGCUCUUCAACGGUGAAGAUAAUGAC